CAACGUCCCUAGUUCUUUGCGCACUGGCCUGUCCAGGUUUAAUAUUUGCUUUCGUCUCCUCUUCCACCUUAGAACACUACCCUGACCUUGGAGCUGACUAAGACAUCUUGUUUUUUCCUCUUCCUGGAAGGCCCAGCCCCCCAGAGGCCUUCCACAGGGCAGUCCGGCAAGGGGAUGCAGCGGAGGAGGCCUGCUGGCCGUCCAACCAUACUUCAAACCCCGUGGCUACAAUUGGCAGCCUGAGAGGGAAGGACCCCACCCAGCCCAGGAGUUUGGAACGAAUCCUUUGUUUCUCUGGGGUGGUGCUUGUCAGCAGCCGGGGGUCCCUCUCAGGGCCUGUAGCUAAGCCUGGUCUGGUGAACUCCACUCAAUCCCGCCCUGGAGCCUCCCCCAUCCACAAACGAGCCCCUCAGGACAACCUGCCUAAACCAAGCUCGUCAUUCGUCACUUCCCCUGCCCUGACGGCCUCUUCCUUUGUCCCAGAUUCCUACACCCAGGAGCGGCACUGUCCUUUCAGCUGGCCAAGCCAGAAACCCGGAGCUCACAGCCCUCCUUAUGAGCCCACCCGGAUACCUGGCACCCCAGACCUCUCUGCCACCCUUCCAGGGCCUACACGGACGGCCCGCGUCCAUCCUCCCGAGGGUGGACGGUCCUGUUGGCGGGUGUGUGCACUUCCAAGCCUAAGAGCAUUGUUAAGAUGUCACUGAGUGUCAUCUGAAAAUAGAAACGCCGCCCAGGCCUACCAUGGAAACGCUUUUGCCUCCCCGACUCCCCACCCGCCUGCGAAUGGAAGCUGCUGUCACCCGAACGCCUGUUCAGCCACCAAGAGAGAGCUGGUGCUUCCUGAGAGUGCCCGUGCACCAAGCACCGGGUCCAGCUCGUUACAGACGUGAUCACAUCAUUUUAUAAUCACCAACUCUCGGGAGCAGCGGGAUGCUGAGGGUCAGGGUGAUGGUAAUUUGCUCAGUGUCACAGGCUAAUAAGUGAGGGGGCUGGUCUCUGCAUCUGAUUCCAGGAGCCGGUUUCAUGAGUUCUCCAGGGAGCGCUUGACCAGGAAGCCGACGAACUCACGAGCCCUUACUUUUUCUUCCUCCAUCUCUUCAUCCGAUCAAAUAAUCAAGUAUAGGAAGAGCCAACAUUAUUUGAGCUGCCAUUGUAGGCCCAGCUCUGUGCUGAGCUUUCUUACACGUUCAGGUCUUACCUCCAUUUUAUCAGUCACGAAACCGAGGUUCAGAGAGGUUAAGCAACUUGCCCAAAGACACACAGCGAUGAAGAAGUUGGAGCAGGACUCCAAGGCCGGAGAUCCCCAUGCCCACCAGCCAGGCCGUAUGCCAGGCUGUGUCAGACAGCCUUGACCGAUGUCUAGGCCCAGGGCUCAAGGCGCUCCUAGGGAGAAUUUGGUAGUCUUUUUCUUGGAAAGCUGUUUCGGAAAACUCAAGCCUGGUCACCCCUUUCUUCAAAAGAGGCCAAGCCAAGUGGCGGUGGGGUGUCCUCACCUCACUGUGCUCUCAUGAUGGGCCAGCUCACCUGGCCUCUGUGAGGGCCCACUUCAGUGGGGAGAGGGGCCCUCGGGGGAUAGAGCUGCUGAGGUGCCCAGCCUUGCUGUCAGUUCCUGGGGAGCCUGGAUGGAAGAGGCUGGCCUGGUUCCUUCCCUCCCUGGUUGUCCUGGGUUGACCUGUGUCCCCUUGAAAUUCAUAUGUUGACAUCCUAUCCCUCAGUACCUCAACAUGGGACCUUGUUUGGAGAUGGGGUCUUUACAGAGGUAAUCAAGUUAAAGUGAAAUCAUCAGGGUGGGUCUCCAUUAGGGUAGGGAAAUUGGGACCGACAGACAUUUUCAGAGGGAGGACACACACGUAUGACACCGCCCCCCCCCCCCCCCACACACACACACUCACACACAGAGAACACCAGGAAGAUGCUGGGGAAGAACCCACCAGAAGCUAGGGGAGCGGCAGGAACACAUUCUCCCUCGUGGACCUUGGAAGGCAUGAAUCCCCCCCCCCCCCCCACACACACACCUGGAUCUCAGACUCCCGGCUGAAGAGCUGUGAGACACUACAUUUCUGCUGCUGGAAUGACUCCGUUUGUCACGCACAUCUAGCAAACCAAGGCAUCAGCCUUCCCUACGAGGGGAGGCCUUUGCUUGCCAGCAGUCUGCGGCCCCCGGCCCCUGGCAGAUAAACCACCGAAUAAGUGACAUCCCCAUCCCGUCCUCCUGCCGGCCGCUGAGGGUUACUUUGGCGACUGCCCUCGUUUCUCAGGUGGGGAAGCAGGAAGAGGGGCCAUCUGCCAGGGUGUGGCAGGCCUAGGAUGUAGACCCAAUUCGCUCCUCUUUGGGGCUCAAAUACAUCACUGCCACGCGCCUCUGCUUUCCAGGAGGAACAAAAGUGGCCACCGAGGCACGGGUGCCUUCACUGUCUGGACAGCCACUGGCCACUGGUGCACCAAGCCUUUGUGGAGCCCUCGCCGGCUGCCAUGCCAGGGCCCGCUGGGCUCAGGCCGGCCACGAGCCCCACACCCUGGAGUUUCACUUCCUACAAGGCGCCUGAGGCACCAGUGAGGUGUGCCCUGACCCCCUAUAGAGCAGGAAGCCUCCAGAGAGCCUUCAGCCCAGUCUGCACCCCUCUCCCCAUCACAGCCUCCUGCUUCUCACCACCCCCCCCCCCAACCCAGGGCGGGAGGAGCAAAGGAGACAACGCGUACAAUCCGUUUGGUGCAGUGCUGAACAUACAAUCCAUGCUCAGUAAGUGGAGGCUACCAUUAUUAUUGUUAUUAUGGUUAUUCGUGAUUAUUAGGCGCCCACAUGGCAAGGACGGAGAAGGACAAGAGCGCGACCCUGGGUUCAAUGCCCGGCUCUGUCUCUUCGGGCUGUGUGACUCUGGACAAGUACCCCACCCCUCGGAGCCUCAGUGCCCUCAUCUGUACAGGGGGGAUAACAGCCCUCACCUCGAAGAACUGUCAGAAGAAGUGGAUGAGGAAGCAUGUAUGGAGCUGCCUGGUAGCUGGUUGGAAUGAAAAAGCAAACAAAGACCAUCUCCUGCUGCCAAGCUGCUCCCCUCCUCUCGGGGAGCAUAUCGAACAGAACGAUGCAGGUGAAGGCCCCUGGCACAGAGCGGCUGUUCAGUAGUGUUCGAACCUGAACAGACAAGCCGAGUGUUUGUGGAAGAUGUGUGUUGGUGUUGCACGGGCGUGUGUGUGUCCCUGUGACGCCAUCCUCUGGCCCAGCUCCUCUGGUUCACCCACGCAUAUGGCGUAUUAUGCUUCUGCUCAGGGGACAGAUUAGGAAAGAGAUCUGGCUUAUCUUUCAGGGGUGACAAGGCCUGUCCCAGGCCCUGCCUUGCAGAGGAUCCACUUGCCAACAGCAACCCCCAAGACAAACCUCCGGGGAACCCCUGGGUGCCGUUCUGGGUGGGGUGAAAAGCGGGUUGGUGUUCUCCUUGCUUGUUUGUUGGGUGUGUAACCUCCCAGGAUGGUCAUCUGCUGCUUCUGCUGCCCGGCCCGGUGGGUGAUAAGCACAGGAGAGGGGAAGAUGUUUGUCAUCACUCUGUCUCUGCCCCUGGUCCUCGGGGCCCUCCCCUAGAAGGGAGCUGGCCCCCUGUCUGAUGGGAGCUGGGAGGAGGGGGUGUCCUCAGUGUAAUAGAUGGUGAUACUGAGCCCACAAAGGAGGCACAGUUCAUAAGAAGCUAAAGCAGCAAACGGACCCAGGACCUCUGAUUCCUGUGCAGCUGGCUUUCUGCUAAACUCCCCUCUGCACAGGGAGGACCAACUGGAGGCUGGAGCUGGGGGUUACGUGCUGUCCUCCUUCAGUUACUAUGGGGCAGCAGUCCCACUGCCCCCAGUGGCAGAAACGCCAACCAUCUGUGUCUCCUUAGCACCUGAGUCCCUGCCAUCAGGGCCGAACACCCUGAUGGGGGUGAUGGGGGCCAGGAGUUGCUGGCCGGAUGCUCUCUUUGCCCCAGCCAAUCAAAUGGGUGACCGUGGGCUUUAAUCACGAGGGAUCCAGAGUCCGGCCCCUCUUUCCGCCCAUAUCCCCCCGCUGCCGGCACCCCGCUCUUGCCUGGUUGGCUGCCAGAGCCUCCACGCUGGUCUCCCUGCUGCCUGCCCUGAAAAUCUAUUCUCUGCCCAGCAGCCAGUGGGGCCCUUCCUUCAGAAACAUAAGGCAGAGCCGGUCUCUCCCGGCUCAGAGGCCUGCGAUGGCCCCACCAGGGCAGAGUAAAGGCCCUGUGGUGGUCUGCAAGGCCCCUCUCAGACCUCUUAACCCACACGCCUCCCCCCACUCUGCUCUGGCCCCGCUGGCCCCUCUGCUGCUCCGUCAGCCACUAGCUACAUCCUCUGCUAUGGCUGGGCCCUGAGCCUGGAUCUUUCUCUUCCCGGCUGCGGGCCCGGCUCCUCUUCCAGGAUGCCAGGAUCAUCCCCGGCCCCCACCGCCUCCUUAUUUCAAUUCGGCAACUGCUCCCUGAUCCCUUGCAAGCCGGAUCCCUUUAUCCUGUUUUUCUGUUGGCGGUUUAGUUUGGCUUUGUUUCGCCCGUAGCCCUUAUCACCUAACACAGCACGUAACUUCUUUAUCACCGUUACUGUUUGUUGCCCAUCUCUGCCAACCCUGCCUCUGCUGCAGUGCCAGCUGCUGGAGGGCAGGGGUCUCUGUCCCGUUCACUCAUGUGUCCCCAGCACCUAAAACGGUGCCUAGACCCUAGGAAGGAACUCGUGAAUAUCUGCCGAAGCAGUCAGCGAAUGGCCACAAGAGACAAUGUGGCUGGGUGGAAAGAAGGACUUACUAGGAGAGCCCCAAGGCGAGGUGUGACAGAGGCCUCUAGGGGGGGUCGCUACAGGGUUCCCUCGUGGCUGGAGGCCCAGUCCCACAGUCUCUCCAGGGCUGUCUGCUGCCUAUGAUGAGACCACCGCCCCCUCGAGAGGGAGAACCUCUGGAGAUUCUCCUUCCACGUGGAAGGAAAAGAACGGACUCUGGAAUCGGUGGGACCUGGGCAAGGACCUCGGCUUCUGGACUGCCUUGCUGUUGUUGCCUCGCUGUUCCUCGUCUGUGAAGUGGGGUGAUGGCUCCAGCUCAGGGAGGUGUCAGAGUCGGCACACCCAUUAUUGCCCCCGUCUUUGCCGGCCCGGCACAUGCAUGAUCUCACUCGGCAGCGCAGGGGGAGCGGGGGACUCCUGUCGUUUCCGUUUUACAGUUGAGGAAACCAAGGAUCCGAGGGGCGGAGUCACUUGUCCAAGGUCACACGGCAAUGGAGCACACAGGGACGGAGCUGGGAUCGGAACCCAAGCCCGUCAGAUUCCAGGGCACCCCCCAGUGGUAAUGUACCUGGUUAGUGAGGGUAACUUGGCCGGUUCCGCACAUACACCACGUCCUCUAAAAUCCUCCUCAACCAUUCUGAGGUGUUAAGUAAUAUCAUCAUCCCAUUUUAUAGGUGAGAGGCGGGGCAACUUGCCCAUCAUCCCAGAACUGCCAAGAGGUGGGAGCAGAGGCUUGAAGGCAAAUCUUUCCUGAACAGCAACUAUAUAAGUCGGAUUUCCCCAGGAUGUGAGGCCAUGAGGGGCACUGCUGGGCUAGCUCGCUGCUCUCCUCUCUGUCCCUCGUGGGGUCAAGCGUAGGCCUGUGUGGCUGGCUGGGUGGGGCCCUGGUGGUGGAACUCACGCCCAGCCUCACCUGGUCUAGGUGGCCAACCCCUUCCUAGCGGCCUUCUCUAUUGCCCCUGGAGCUCCCUUGCUGCAUUUCUAGUCUAUUCUUUAUCUUUCUGGUUCCUUGGACCAAACCAGGAUGUGAAGGCCACUCCCCUUCUCCCACCAACACUAGCUUAGGCUCACCACCGUCUCCUCAGGAUGAAGACUGCCCUACCUUGUCUCUCUUACUGCCUGUUCCGUAGAUCCAUUUUAACCAGCUUAUGGCGGACCAGCAGACUUCUUUGUCACCGUGGCAGAAGAGGGGGAAUGUAGCUGGCACAGUGCUUGGCACUCAGUAGGCGCUAAAUAAAUGUCUGGCCCUGCCAACCUCUAUGCCUUUCUUUCCUAUCUGCCUCUCCUGGGUUCUCCUUUUAGCCUCACUGUCCUUUUCCCUAUUCCUGGGCAACAUUAAGCUUGUUCCUACCCCAGGGCUUUUGCAUUACUGUUUCCUCUGCCUGGUAUGCGUGUCCCUAAGAUCUCCAACCUCAUUGUCUCCUUUCUGUCAUUUAGGACUCUGCUCAAAUAUCACCUCCUCAAAGACGCUUUCUCUGACCUCCCAGUCUAAGGUUGUGACCCCCCAGCCCUGGUAGCUCUCUACCAGCUGUUUGAUUUUCUUCAUAGUAUUUACCAUUUUCUGAAAUCACAAUAUUAACAUUUAUAUUUUCUUUGCCCUUCUCCAUAAAGGUUUAGCUCCAUGAGUUCAGGGACCUUGAUACUCACAUCUGCCCCUAUGUCCCCAGCCCCAGGAGCCAUGCCCAGUCGGUAGGAAGCAAGCUCUAAGUAUCAGACCAGCACACAAAUGAAGAAACGCAGAAGUUCUGAGGGUAUAAUGUUACGUCCGAAGUGGCUGGCCUUGAGAGAAAAUAGUUCUUCGAGAUUUUACCCUUUAUUUUCUUAAAACUUCAUGUAAGUUUUUCAUUUUGAUGCAUUCUCUCUGUGUUUGUGUUAAUUUUUUUAAUGGGUUUUUUUCCCCUCAAAAAGAUGAGGAAAAUUAUUGAAUGCUCUGGGAAGAUGGAUGUCAUUUCUCCUACAUCCUUGUGAACCCUUGAGCUGUGCUGGAGAAUAAUGGAUCCAGCCCAAGUCCCGGCCAAGUACACAGACUCUGUGUGGGUGAGGCCCUGCCCAUGCGGCGUAGACUGGACCAGCCAUUUGGGAGGACAAUUUGGCAGGAUCCAAUUAAAUGGAAAAUGUUUCGACUCAAAA
Leopardus geoffroyi (Geoffroy's cat) is the source of this 6876-nucleotide long non-coding RNA. RefSeq lists it as uncharacterized. The transcript is spliced from 2 exons. The record is from RefSeq and is a predicted model, not a curated record. Lineage: Eukaryota; Metazoa; Chordata; Mammalia; Carnivora; Felidae.